Long non-coding RNA from Falco peregrinus (peregrine falcon), 9814 nucleotides. RefSeq lists it as uncharacterized. The transcript has 6 exons. The record is from RefSeq and is a predicted model, not a curated record. Lineage: Eukaryota; Metazoa; Chordata; Aves; Falconiformes; Falconidae.
AAGAGUUCAAAUACCAAUGUUAAUUAGAAAAAAAUGAUCUAGAGGAUACAAAAACCGAUUUGUUACAUGUAACAAAGCAUGAAAGGUUUUUAUGGAAAAAAGUAGCCUGCACAAAGAAUUCAGGACAGCAUGUUUUGUUUUUCUUCCUCCCGUAAGCUUCCAAAGCAGUAUGGGGCUGUGCUCUUAGAUGUGACUUAGUUACUGUAGAAAAUAAGAAAUAAAUCUGCCUUGAAUAUACUUUUCCAAAUUUUCUUUCUUUAAUUUCGGAAGUAUUCAAAUAAAAAGUGCCUUGUAGAGAGACAGUGCGCACUGUCCCUUGUGUUCCUACAUCCAUUCAAUGCCUUGAAAUUGGAAGUCUGCAGAGCAGUAGUUUCAUGUAUAAUAAAUACAAAAUUCUCUAACACAGGCUGUCUACACAAUGCUGACAGAACAUGAAUGUGAAAUAACACUCAAGAGAUCACUCAGAAAUCAAUAAACUCAAUCAGCUAGGAUCUUAACACUGUCUACAACAAUAAUACAGGGAAAGUGAUGAACACUGCAAGGGUAUGUGGUGAUUUUAAAAUGAAACCAGAAAAAAAUUCUCCCAAAAUGUUUUCUUCAGGCGGGGUGGUGGUGGUGUGAAAAACAAAAGAAGCCAAAACCAACCUGUCCAGGUUUCUGUUGGGAUACAGUUAAUUUUCUUCUUAGUAGCUGAUAUGGUGCUGUGUUUUGGACUUAGUGUGAGAAUAAUGUUGAUAACACAUUGUUUUAGUUGUUGCUAAGUAGUGCUUACUCUAAAUCAAGGACUUUUCAAGUUCCCCGUGCUCUGCCAGUGGGCAGGUGCACGAGAAGCCAGGCAGGAGCAGAGCCAGUACAGCUGACCCCAACUAGCCAAAGGGACAUUACACACCACAGAAUGUCAUGCUAAGUACACAAAUCUGGGGGAAGAAGAAGAAAAGGGGGCUGGGUGUGUGGGGAUGUCAUUCAGAGUUACAGCGUUCGUCUUCCCGAGUCACCGUGACACAUGCUGCAGCCCUGCAGCCCCAGGGAUGGAUCCUACACUGAUGGCUCACAACCCACUUUCACAAGAAAUGAGAUCUGUGAGCGGUCAGCACCUCUGAGGGCUCGGGUGAGUCCUUAACCCUGUUGCCUUCAUCAGGUCUCAGGCUCCAUCCUGCUCCUGAGGGAGGUAGAUGGAGGCACACUCUACAAUACAAAGAUGGACAGCUAAAUGAAGCAAGUACUCCUAGAAAACUUCCAACAAGGGACUGCCUUGCUGGAUUAUGAAGAUGAAUAUUCAGAUGAGAGAAGAGAGACACCAAAUCCAGAGACCCUGAUGUGAAUACUUUCAAAUGCCAAGAGAAGUUCUUUUCUGCAGCCUGGCGUCCAGCACUCACAUGCAGUUGGAGGCUGAUCCAUGGCUGGAUGGGUGCUCGUUAUUCAGCUCACACAGGGAAGCAACAGUUCCAAAGAGGUACUCAGAACAUGGAGUAACAGUGAAAAAGCUAAAGCACUUCCAAGGUGUAUGGAGAGGAAGAAAUCAGAAUUUCAAAGAAGCUUAACAGCAAGACUGAAAUGAAAGAGGUGGCCUGGGAAAAUCACAGAGAUGUUCUCCUCUAGAUUUCUAUCUGAAGGUUGGCACCAAGAGAAGCACUUCAAAUUCUCCUUGAACUUCACAUUUCUCCUUACUGGCAGACAGACUAGGGAACACAAAGCCACCCUGACCACCAAACUGCCAGCAUGGAAAUAAAGAUAAGUUUGAGUUCUUUAGUACGUUGCAGUGCUUAAAUGAUGAUAAAUGUUAUGCUAUAAUACAGCAUCUAGUUGAAUGUAAUUGCUUUGACUAAGUCUAGAAAGAAAUUAAUUUACUCCAAACCAAAUUAUUCUGAGGACUUUAGGGUACAAUUUUAAACUAUUGUUGAAUUCAGAUGCUUAAAUAACUAUAGUGCCUCUAUUAGUCUAGAGUGGGAGUAUACUAACAUUUAGCAUACUGAGUGACUCAGUCCUGUAACUGCUUCAUUAAUAGCUUUCACCAAGGCAGCAGGAGUUACCAGGCAUCUUAAACAUAAAGCAUUUGUUUAAGAAACUACUGCAGUUAUACGCAUAGAAAAAAAGUUUCUGCACAACCCAUCCCAAUAUAUUUGCUGGAUACACGAUUUUUUACUAACAGAGUAAAAUGUGUUUCACGAGCUAGUGACAUGCAGAGAAUAAUAUUUCUGGUUGACUGCAGAUUCGGAGAAUUUCAUAGAUAAAUUUCAUAUCAGGCCCAUCACUUAAAACCACCUGCUACAGGUAUCUGCUUCAGACCCACAUCCCUGUGGCAAUGUGUGACCCCACCACAGUAUGGGACCAGUGUUUGGUGGCGGUCAGGUUUUUGUAUACACGAGAAUGACAUCAUGCAAAAGCACCUUCUGUGUGUAGAAACAGGUUUGGGUAUUCUGAAUCAGAAAGUGUGAAAAUAUAUACUAAAGCCUUCAUAAAUAACAAGGGGAACUAAAAAACCCAACCAAAAUCCAACACCUAAAUCCAAAACCACCAUCUCCUUGAGAACAAGUUAUGUAAAAAUCUAAAUGAGUCAGUAUCUUAAGUAGGAAAUUUAAUCCUAUAUAUGCUUCCUUUUUAUAUAUAUUAUAUAUAUGCACACCCACACAUCAUAUAUAAAGAUUAGUCCCCUAAUAGGGGACUAGUAGCAGAUUUGUAGAAAAAAGACUCUAAAGGACUGUGACAAAAUUAAAUUCUUAGUAGUUUCCAAAAAUUACGUGACCUAAUGGGAAAAAACAACCCAAACCAACUUUGAAAUGAGAUGGCAUACACAAAGCUGUCUCUGAAGCAUCAUUUAUGUGAUAAAACACAACUAUAGUAUGGACAAUUAUUUCCUCUGCUCCUGUAAAUGAAUAUCUGAUAGCCUUGAGGGGUUUUCCAGUACAGUUCAUCAAUUCUUAUCAUAUUUAAUUCAGAUACUCUCAAGAGAACUGCAGGGAAAACUGGCAAUAACUCAGCAGAUAAUUCCCCAAAGAAACCUUCAUCUCUCUCUUCUUAAUUGCAUGGCAUAUCAACGCUCGAUGUUUUAAGGAGACUAUCCUGAGCUUUUGGCAAAACCAUCAUUCAGAUGAAUAAACAUAGAAGGCCCAAAGAUCUUAGGGUGUAUUCUGAUUUUUGGAUAGCGAAGAUCUUACUAGCAUGGGAUAACAAGUUAUUGCUAAUCCUGUUCUACCAGGAGCCUGCAACUAGCUGACCCCUCCACAACAGACAGUUGUAGAAGUAUAGUAGGGAGACAUGUCCGCAGGACAUACAACGUUGCUGUCAUGAUUCCCAGAUACUGUCUGCCAUAUUUACUUGCCAAUUAAAGAUUUUAAAUGAUUUAUAGAUUGUAACGAUAUAAAUUAUUAUAAAUCAGAUUGGAAGGGUCUAAUUCUGAUCCCUAUAGCAGGGAAUAUAUCCUGAUACAACAUAUACAUAGAUCAGAAGGAACAAAAAAAUACCCUAAGUCUUCAGGAUUUUUUGUGAACCAGAUAAGCUGAGCUUUUCUUCAGCUCUGACUGCCCUGGUUUCACUCUGCAUUUGCUUCACCUCUAAGGAAGCAGACUGCUUUCUCAUCAUCUCGCAGGAUGUCACGGUGGAGCCUGGCACGGGCACCAAGCGUCAGCGGAUUCUAACAGGGAGCUACAGUAAAUGAAAACCUCCUCACAGCAGUGGCUGCGCAGAGCAGCUGACCGACCUUACACUGAAAUCAAGAGGAUCACAAAGUGAAAUGAAUUCUAGCAAGGUCAAAAAGCGUUAGCAGACUUCAGAGGAGCUCCGGUGCUUCUAGCUGCUAGCAUCCAUUCCUUCAUCCCUGCUCCUUGAUGUGCCCACCACCCCUGGACAGGGUGCUCCUAGCUCUGAGCCUGUUUGAAGUUUCACAAAUACUAACACGGCAAAGGUGAAUAAUAGCGCUGUUGUAUUGGCUGUUUCACUGUACAAAUGAGCUUUGAAAAACAUUUAUAGCUACUCUCUAGCCCCUAGCACCUCCUUCUUCUUCAAUAACUCUCUGAAAUGUAACUGUUUUAAUUAAGGUCUCAGCCUCUGCUUCUUGCUUUCAUCAUGUCUCAGUCUGUUACUUAAAACUAAAUCCUGUUCUUGUUCUACAAAGAUCUAUAGGCCCUAAAGGAAACUCUGUAAUGAUGAACGAAAAGUACUUAAUACGGUAUUUUCAAUUAGAUUAAAACUCCAAAAAUUUUUCCAGAAGCAUCAGUUAACAGUCUGUUACUGUAAAUUAAUCUUUUACACAGACAUGAACUAAAAGCAUGUGUUCUCUGAAGUGGAAGAAGCAUAUUCCUUACAAAUUACAGUUCUACUGACUGUUACACAGGCAGGAUUAAGCACUAUAAUUCAAGGAAUAUAAAUAUUUAGAUUAUUGGAAGAGCCUUAAGGUAGCCUGAACUCUCCCUGUAUUUUGUGAUGAUACAACUCCUUUUCCAGGGAACCAUUCUCCAGCUAAGACACACUGUCACAGCCCGAGGAGGCGUUCACAGGAUAGACUCCGCAUCUUUGCGGUCACUUGGGCAGCACUCACACAGCCACACUUUGUAAGGAUGACAAACGCAUGCAACACACCAGGCACAGACACUGGGGUUCGGUCCCUGUGGGAGAUCAUCCAGCCUGCUGUAACCACAGCCCACGAACACCCUCCCUCCCAUCCGUGAGGAGUUCAUCAAACCUGAAACGUUUCGCAGCAAACAUCUGCUGCAACUGAGGAUUUGCUGACAAAUCUGUUUCCUCAGAAAGUUUCUGCACUAAUCUGGGAGUAUGUCAAGAUCCCAAAUUCCUCCCACUUUCUAUCCGAGCACUUACAAAUGUUCUCAUUACUGUUUCAAAGAGCUAUCCUUUAAUUGCGCUGACUUUCAAAUAUGAAGGUAAAAAAGGCAUGUUGCCACAAAGCUGUCUGGUAGUUUUCACAGAUGCUUCUUGCCUUCUUAUGAGGUAAUAGGCAUAAUGAGCAUGAGCUAGCAUCGUGGUUUGUGGUCCAGGCAAGGAGAUUACACUAUACGUGGGCUUUUUCCUUGGGAUCUGCUUGUCUACUGACUGACAGCCAAAAGAAGCAUAUUAAGGCUUUUUAAGUUCAAAAAAUUGUGUAACAAGCUCUGGAGAUUUCAGAAAGCUAACAACAUUUUUAUUAACCAUCUUUUAUUGCAGGCUAACAUAUUUCCUGAAAGAUUGUUUUUCUGGAUGCACAUUUCCCUUUGCUCUCUUGAUAAGUUGCCACCUCAAGAAAUAAACCAAAGGGAAAAUGAUGCAUAUUUUUUUAAAAUAGAAAAAUAAGGUCAUUAAAGGUUGGAAGGCUACCCUGAAUAUUCAAAUUUCUGCUAUUCAUAUAUAUUUCUCUCCAAUAUUGUAAGGUUACUUGUGGGCAGGAACAGGCAUCCAUUUGAUACCUGAACACUGGAAAACAACUGCACUCCAGCAAGACUUGAUGAAAAUAUAUAGCAGUGCAAUGCCCUUCAACCGCAGGUGAAAGUAGAUCAGAAACCAGCACAGGCUGAGAGAAGUAUUCAGAAAAUACAAAAUAAUCAGCAUGUUGUUGGUGAGGCAGUAAAACAACCCUGUGCGUGGCUCCUGGAAAGAAAAGGGGGAACACAGACAGUGACCUUGUAAGACGGGUGCGUUUUAAAGCAACACCAACUGUCUAACAGGGUUGUCUUUGUUGAUACAUUUGCUUCAGGCUACAUUCGGAUAUAAUUGAGAUUCAUCUAGCGAGCGGGGAGGGCUCCACUCUGCUGAAGAGUUUUGAUUUUUAGGGAGGAUGCUGUGACCGAAUAGCUCGUGGUCAGGUGUAACCAACCUGCGAUAUCCAAGAAAGUGAGUUAGGGCUGUGGAUUAACUGGGUCCAUCGCACGUCAUCUCUGAAACCAGAUUAUUCAAACCUCAAAAAAGUCUUAUUAAACCCUGGAUUUUCUUAUAGGCAAACAGUGAUCUUGUGCUAAAACCUGUCAGUUCACAUGGACUAGCUUUGGGCCUUAGAAAGUUGGGACAGGACCAGCCAGAAAGCAUUGCACAUCGGUUUUUUACUGACACUCGGGACUCAGGCUGGGGAGUAACGAUUUUGAAACCUACUACAACUGGGACUUGUGGAGAUGAGCAGGCAGGUAACCAUUGCUCCUUUCCACUACCCUGUCCUCAUUUCAACCUCAGCAGCUGGCAAUCCAAUUAAUUCUCAUUUUUCUCAGAGAAGAGGAAACUUUUUGGAGCUGGGGAUGGUGUUGAACUAUUUUGUGUCAGUCUCCGAACAUCACUUCUACCAAAAAGAGUGAGAAGUACAUGAACUUAAUGGAUGAAUAGACUCCAUAGUCGUGAUGAUGCAUUUUCUUUGAUACCUGGGUAAGUGACCCAGUCCUGGCUGCAUUUUAAUUUUUAAUGUGCUAGCUAUAUUAAAAUCCUAAAUAGACUCCUGUAAAUCUAUUUAGAAGCAUAAUGAAACAAAAUUCAAGUUUGAAUAGGGAAUGCAUUGAUUUUCUAUGUCAGAAAUGAAGCAAUUUAGUGUUUCUUUUACUCAAGGUGCUACUGUUCUGUGCCAGCACUAAUUAAAUUCUAUAUGUGUUCUGAGCACAGAAAUUAUGUUGUCUCAUAGUAAAGUAACUAUAUCAAAUUGAGGGGUAGAGACAUUAAUGGCCUGAUCAGUUGAAUUAACAUAAACCAGCAGUCCUUGUCAUUGCACAAGUACAUUUUUCAUUAGAAUUGACUUUUCUUGAUUUCUUGUAAAAGUAGGCUACUAAACAGAGGGGAGAGGAGGAGUUGUUAAGUAUUUUGCCAUUCUAGGUCAUAGAAUAAGGGACUGCAGAAAAACUGAAAAUUGUUUGGACGUUUAAUGGACAAAAUGACCCUCACAGACCCUCUCCAAAUUUUCACAUGUGUAGCUUUGCAAUUAUUUACCAGACUAUCACCUCAUCUGCAAAAUGUUCCUGUAUCACUCUGCAGGUAUCUUUGGGUGGGACAAGUAGCUGGAUGCAGUGGCUGGAUGCUUACCUAAGCCCGUAACAGCCAAGGGGUUGUCUCCCAACCAAAACCUUCAUGGCUUCCAGCCAUACAAGCCAAGGAAACAGCACUCUUCAACUGCUAAAGCAAAGCUGGGAUAAGACUUGGAUCAAAGGCUUUGAAGAAGCACCAAGGACCACCUAGAUAGCAGAAGGUCCUGUUGGAAGGACAGCGGAGACACUUCUUCCCUUUCCAUAGGCAGUGGUCGGGUCACCCCACUGCUCAGGGAGACCAGCAGCUCUGCCCAGUACAAUCCUUAGGCUUGCAUUUCAGUGGCAGAGCUUUUCCAAGUUCGUUAAGCUGUACUUGUUUUCCUUUGCACAUGCAACCGAUUGCAUGUAGUCCUGCAAAACUAAAGUGGUUUCUCCUCCAAGAAAGGUGCAGACAUUCUAAAGCUCUUUCCAACCAUGCUACCGGAGGUAAGGACCACUGCAUUAUUAACAUUCACAACAGCAACGCCAGCUGCAUAGGAAGUCUAUAUUGCAAGGUAUCAAGUAAGUGUUCAUAUUCAAGAAUUCGAUUUCAUUGAAUUCAUCAAUUUGAAGAACAUUUGCAUUUAUUAGAAUCUCCCAGUUGAUACCCUUUAAAUUAAAAAAAAAAAUCAGUAUGUAGGGUGAUUUGCCAAAAAGAAAGUGUUGGAUUUAAACAAAAUUAUUUCAAGACUAUCUAUUAUUUUACUUAAUGUAUUAAAAAAAAAAAAUCCUGAGAAGGAAAGGAAUUAGAAUUUGGAUUCAUUACUUCUCUUCCUGAUUGAAGGUAAGAAAAAUAAUGAAAAGUGAGAAUUUUUCACAUCACAAAACAAAAGUAUCCCACUUGGAUUUAUUUAUAGCCUGUACUAAUUCCCUCGAAGUGUGAUCAAAAAUAUACGAUCAUUUUCAAUUCAUUAGGAAUUAGUUUGUAGGUAAGAAACAUUCUUGUCUCACCUUAGGCUAAAUCUCUUCUUGGUGAGUGAAACCCGUAUGGCCCCUCUUUGCCUUUCGUCAACUGACGCCAAAAGGCCAAAGUGAGAUAGGAAGGAGCCAGGGAGUGAAACCAUGCCCUUGGGGCGAACACCUUGCUGGUGCUGGUGUCCUCAUUGAGUUGAGAUACACAUAAUAUACAGAAGUAACCAGGAGAAAUGUGGUUUCAGAGCAUGCCUUCUGUCUAUCCUGCAAAGUGAUUUUGUAUAAAAUUAAGGAAACGUACAUGCAAAUGCAGUUUUCAUCCCCUUCCCAUCAGGUGAGCCCACUUCAUCCCUGCUAUAAAGUAGAUGCUGUGGCUGUAACUUCUGAUGAGUCUGACUUGCCUUGCCAGGGAUCCCAGGCAAUGGUGGGGCAGCCACGGGCUGCCAGGAGUCCAAGACUGUCCUCUCAGGGGCACAGCACAAGGUGGGCAGACCUAGGCCAGGCAACAAAAUAUAUUCUGACUCUUCAAAACCUUCCAAAAAUAUUUUUUCGGCUCUUGCUUUCAGUGGGAAAUCGAGGUUAGCUAACAAACGUGAACCAACAUUCUUUGUUUCAAAGACCAAGUCUACUUUAACAAUUCACUUUGGACCACUUGAACCUGUGCCUCAGUUUACCCAUAUGUAAAACUCAAGGCAUAUCUAACUUGCAGGGCUCUGCCGACUCUUAAAAUUAAUGUACUGCUUUAAUGUGUUCCUUGAUCAAAAUUAACUCUAGAUGUGCAUGUGGCAACAGCUCAUUAGGAAAUCUGGCUGAGAUUUAUGGGAAGAGGCAAGCCCAGUGCUUUGGGCUGGCAUGCGGACGGAGCUAAUGUCACACAGCUGAGGCUAACCAGACAGAUGGGCUCUGCCAGCAGCAAUGUGUCUGAGCUGUCAGACAUCCUGAACUUUCCAGCCACCUACACAACACAGAGCCACACAUGUGAACACCCGGAGAAAUUAAUAUGGAUAUUAGACUUCACCAUUCAUUACCCUGUCAUCGUUUUAAAGCCCAGUUUUGAGGUGAUAGGACACAUCACAGCUUUUUAAUUACCACUUCCCCCAGCUACUGCAAUCAUAGACCCAUAAAGGAAGCCCAGCACAAAUUGUUUUUUUCUAAUAAAUAUCAGUCAGGGAUAAAUAAUGGACCAGAGCUCUUUCACCUUUUUAUUAAUCUAUGAUAUUUGCUGUAAAAGUCUUGAUGAAAGGAGCUCUGCCCUUACAAGCAAUGAGGUGCAAAGGAAUACAGCAAGUUCUUUGGAUCUGCUGGGAUUAAAACUUGCCGCAGUGGCUGAUAGGGUAUCAUAAUUCCUAAGUGGGGAGAUGCGAGAUAUGGAAAGUGCCCCACUGCCAGCCUCUGCAGUAUCCACGAACAUUUUAUUAAUUAAUUAAUUAAUUUUAAUUUUUGCAAGGUUUACUUCAAAUCCUGAAAGGUAGGAAUUGGGUUGUGCAUUAGGCUUGGGCGGGGAGGAGGGGAACAUGGUUGUAACUCCAGCCCGUGGUACUGGACUUUGAGAGUGGGGCAGCCAUUGCACAUCAGCACAUCUGCACGUAGGGCAGGUUAAACAUCAACCAUGUCAUAUUAGAGGACAUUUUACUUAAAAAGAAAAAAAAAACGGUUAUUUGCUCAGCUAGUGUUAGUCUGAACAAAUGGAUGAUUUACCUCCUGACCAACAUUGAAAUCCAGACAUGCAGUAAGCGGUGGCAUCUGUGGGAACAGAAGACGGGCCGUAGGUAACAGGGCUGCAAAACGCUUUAUGCUCAUCUGUGAGGCAGUUAAUGAGCUCCUCUCUUAGAACAGGGGAUUUCCAGGUUUUGGUAUGUGCCAGCUUUAUCAUCUUUAUAUUUAAAGUCCUUAUACACUUUGCCAUGCUGUCUUUGUCACCCACAGCCUUGUCUCGCAGC